This 417-nucleotide ribosomal RNA is filed under the name Triticum aestivum (bread wheat). RNAcentral describes it as "partial small subunit ribosomal RNA". The record is from RNAcentral. Lineage: Eukaryota; Viridiplantae; Streptophyta; Magnoliopsida; Poales; Poaceae.
AUGCUCGAACGAGUGCUGAACGAAACGUCAAGUUCCACGACAACCAUCGGCAUGUACCCCUACAUCGCAUCGGAACGCCGAGUUCCUCUUCGGAGGUGUGUACGACGACCAGGGCCAAAAGACCCGUACACCACUACCGUCGUUGAAGACCCGUGUAACGCAUGCAUAAAGUACCUCUACGGAAGACCCGAACGCCUACGAACAUGUAUCACUAUCGUCGCCGAGAUCGCGAGAACCUAUACCGUCGACCCUAGAGCGUGCGAGAACGAUUACUUCUACUACCGCCGUCACGAGAACGUCUACUUCCUCUACUUUGCACCGAAUGAGAACUGUCUCGCUUGCACGCUUCGAAGGUAUAACAUCGAGACGACGUCCGUGAACGAAUGCUUGCGUUGUAUGAGUUGGACCGCGUGUUGA